AGUGAACGCUGGCGGUAGGCCUAACACAUGCAAGUCGAACGGCAGCACAGUAAGAGCUUGCUCUUACGGGUGGCGAGUGGCGGACGGGUGAGGAAUACAUCGGAAUCUACUUUUUCGUGGGGGAUAACGUAGGGAAACUUACGCUAAUACCGCAUACGACCUACGGGUGAAAGCAGGGGAUCUUCGGACCUUGCGCGAUUGAAUGAGCCGAUGUCGGAUUAGCUAGUUGGCGGGGUAAAGGCCCACCAAGGCGACGAUCCGUAGCUGGUCUGAGAGGAUGAUCAGCCACACUGGAACUGAGACACGGUCCAGGCUACUACGGGAGGCAGCAGUGGGGAAUAUUGGACAAUGGGCGCAAGCCUGAUCCAGCCAUACCGCGUGGGUGAAGAAGGCCUUCGGGUUGUAAAGCCCUUUUGUUGGGAAAGAAAAGCAGCAGGUUAAUACCCAGCUGUUCUGACGGUACCCAAAGAAUAAGCACCGGCUAACUUCGUG
RNAcentral lists this ribosomal RNA (492 nucleotides) under uncultured bacterium. RNAcentral's name for it is "partial 16S ribosomal RNA". It matches the Rfam family "Bacterial small subunit ribosomal RNA", at positions 29 to 507 of the family's 1533-position model. The record is from RNAcentral.